UAGUCAUAUGCUCGUCUCAAAGAUUAAGCCAUGCAUGUCUAAGUAUAAGCAUUUAUACUGUGAAACUGCGAACGGCUCAUUAAAUCAGUUAUCGUUUAUUUGAUAUUUCCUUUACUACAUGGAUAACCGUAGUAAUUCUAGAGCUAAUACAUGCGCAAAAUUCCAAUCCGCAAGGAGAGGAAUGUAUUUAUUAGAUUACAAAACCAACUCGUACUCUGUACGGUUUAAUGGUGAUUCAUAAUAACUCUAUCGAAUCGUAUGGCCUUGUGCCGACGAU
This 277-nucleotide ribosomal RNA is filed under the name uncultured eukaryote. RNAcentral describes it as "partial 18S ribosomal RNA". It matches the Rfam family "Eukaryotic small subunit ribosomal RNA", at positions 21 to 291 of the family's 1831-position model. The record is from RNAcentral.